UACAGAGGUGGCAAACGUUGUCCGGAUUUAUUGGGUGUAAAGGGCAUGUAGGUGGUCUUGUAAGUCAAAGGUGAAAUGGCCCGGCUCAACCAGGUCAUUGCCUUUGAAACUGCCGGACUCGAGUACGGAAGAGGAGAGCGGAAUUCCCAGUGUAGCGGUGAAAUGCGUAGAUAUUGGGAGGAACACCGGUGGCGAAGGCGGCUCUCUGGUCCGAAACUGACACUGAGAUGCGAAAGCCAGGGGAGCAAACGGGAUUAGAUACCCCCGUAGUCC
RNAcentral lists this ribosomal RNA (273 nucleotides) under uncultured bacterium. RNAcentral's name for it is "partial 16S ribosomal RNA". It matches the Rfam family "Bacterial small subunit ribosomal RNA", at positions 524 to 796 of the family's 1533-position model. The record is from RNAcentral.